AAGCGGAGGAAAAGAAACCAACAGGGAUUGCCCCAGUAACGGCGAGUGAAGCGGCAAUAGCUCAAAUUUGAAAUCUGGCUCUUUCAGGGUCCGAGUUGUAAUUUGCAGAGGGCGCUUUGGCGUCGGCAGCAGCCUAAGUUCCUUGGAACAGGUCAUCAUAGAGGGUGAGAAUCCCGUAUGUGGCUGCUUGUCUUCGCCGUGUAAAGCCCCUUCGAUGAGUCGAGUUGUUUGGGAAUGCAGCUCUAAAUGGGAGGUAAAUUUCUUCUAAAGCUAAAUAUUGGCCAGAGACCGAUAGCGCACAAGUAGAGUGAUCGAAAGAUGAAAAGCACUUUGGAAAGAGAGUCAAAAAGCACGUGAAAUUGUUGAAAGGGAAGCGCUUGCAGCCAGACGUGCCCGUAGUUGCUCAUCGGGGGUUCUCCCCCGUGUACUCUUCUAUGGGCAGGCCAGCAUCAGUCCGGGCGGUUGGAGAAAGACCUGUGUCAUGUAGCUGUUUUCGGGCAGUGUUAUAGGGCAGGUGGAAUGCAACCAGCCUGGACUGAGGUCCGCGCAUCUGCUAGGAUGCUGGCGUAAUGGCUGUAAGCGGCCCGUCUUGAAACACGGACCAAGGAGUCUAACAUCUAUGCGAGUGUUUGGGUGUCAAGCCCGAGCGCGUAAUGAAAGUGAACGGAGGUGGGAACCUUUUAGGUGCACCAUCGACCGAUCCUGAUGUCUUCGGAUGGAUUUGAGUAAGAGCAUAGCUGUUGGGACCCGAAAGAUGGUGAACUAUGCCUGAAUAGGGUGAAGCCAGAGGAAACUCUGGUGGAGGCUCGCAGCGGUUCUGACGUGCAAAUCGAUCGUCAAAUUUGGGCAUAGGGGCGAAAGACUAAUCGAA
This 871-nucleotide ribosomal RNA is filed under the name Pleotrichocladium opacum. Its description in RNAcentral is "eukaryotic LSU rRNA". It matches the Rfam family "Eukaryotic large subunit ribosomal RNA", at positions 48 to 939 of the family's 3401-position model. The record is from RNAcentral. Lineage: Eukaryota; Fungi; Ascomycota; Dothideomycetes; Pleosporales; Melanommataceae.